RNAcentral lists this ribosomal RNA (407 nucleotides) under uncultured bacterium. RNAcentral describes it as "partial 16S ribosomal RNA". It matches the Rfam family "Bacterial small subunit ribosomal RNA", at positions 30 to 526 of the family's 1533-position model. The record is from RNAcentral.
AUUGAACGCUGGCGGCAGGCCUAACACAUGCAAGUCGAGCGGAGCGGCGGACGGGUGAGUAAUGCCUAGGAAUCUGACUGGUCGUGGGGGCUAACAUCCGGACAAGGGCCCUAAUCUCGCAUACUAUCAGAUGAGCCUAGGUCGGAUUAGCUAGUGGGGGGGGUAAAGGCCGACCAAGGCGACGAUCCGUACCUGGUCUGCGAGGAUGAUCAGUCACACUGGAACUGAGACACGGUCCAGACUCCUACGGGAGGCAGCAGUGGGGAAUAUUGGACAAUGGGCGAAAGCCUGAUCCAGCCAUGCCGCGUGUGUGAAGAAGGUCUUCGGAUUGUAAAGCACUUUAAGUUGGGAGGCGUUACCAACAGAAUAAGCACCGGCUAACUUCGUGCCAGCAGCCGCGGUAAUAC